UCAAGAGUACGUGAAACCGUUUGCAGGUAAACAGAUGGACCCACGAAGUCCUGUUAAGUGAGAGAUUCACAUACUUUGGGAGGCAUUUAAUGAAAGUUAGAUUUAUGUUCUAUAAACUAACUUGAUUAAAAAUAGUCAAACCAAAUGAUGCAUUUCUCUUACUUACGUUGGAGCUCUGACUACUUAAUAAAUGUAAGUGCAUAGCUCUAUUAAGUGAUAUAGACCUUCGGGAUCUAAAAUUUACUUUAAUAGAGUGUAAUACUUACAUUUCAAUGAGUAGGUGAAAUUAUUUACGGUUGUAAGUAUAUUCAGAUCAUUUGUAUCGUUGAGAUAUAAAUUGUUGUUAUAACAGGUACAUUCAAGCUUUAUGCUUGAAAACUUGUUCAUAUACAGCGAAUUACAUUUAUCUCAUACCUUACUGAUGAUGAUCCAGAGUAAGUAGGUCGGUCAUCCAUCUGACCCGUCUUGAAACACGGACCAAGGAGCCCAACAUAUAUGCAAGUCGCACAGUCUUGCUUAGGCUUGUGAGGCGUAAUAAACAUAAUGAUGUGAUCUUUCUUUCUCUGAAAGAUAGAGCAACAUCAACCUGUUCUUUCUAUUUACUUAGUUGAACGGCGUUUGAGCAUAUAUAUUGGUACCCGAAAGAUGGUGAACUAUACUUGGGCAAGACGAGAGCCAGAGGAGAACUCUGGUGGAGGUCUGUAGCGAUUCUGACGUGCAAAUCGAUCGUCAGACCUGAGUAUA
RNAcentral lists this ribosomal RNA (744 nucleotides) under Torrenticola raptoroides. Its description in RNAcentral is "eukaryotic LSU rRNA". It matches the Rfam family "Eukaryotic large subunit ribosomal RNA", at positions 389 to 919 of the family's 3401-position model. Lineage: Eukaryota; Metazoa; Arthropoda; Arachnida; Trombidiformes; Torrenticolidae. The record is from RNAcentral.